This 444-nucleotide ribosomal RNA is filed under the name uncultured bacterium. RNAcentral's name for it is "bacterial SSU rRNA". It matches the Rfam family "Bacterial small subunit ribosomal RNA", at positions 331 to 792 of the family's 1533-position model. The record is from RNAcentral.
CCAGACUCCUACGGGAGGCAGCAGUGGGGAAUAUUGGACAAUGGGGGGAACCCUGAUGCAGCGACGCCGCGUGGGUGAAGAAGUAAUUCGUUACGUAAAGCCCUAUCAGCAGGGAAGAAAAUGACGGUACCUGACUAAGAAGCCCCGGCUAACUACGUGCCAGCAGCCGCGGUAAUACGUAGGGGGCAAGCGUUAUCCGGAUUUACUGGGUGUAAAGGGAGCGUAGGCGGCGAUGCAAGUCAGAAGUGAAAGCCCGGGGCUCAACUCCGGGACUGCUUUUGAAACUGUAUAGCUUGAGUGCAGGAGAGGUAAGCGGAAUUCCUAGUGUAGCGGUGAAAUGCGUAGAUAUUAGGAGGAACACCAGUGGCGAAGGCGGCUUACUGGACUGUAACUGACGUUGAGGCUCGAAAGCGUGGGGAGCAAACAGGAUUAGAUACCCUUGUA